GGGCUCAGUUUUAUUUUUUGCCAGCGCUUAUUGCGCGGCGAAAAACCUUACACACAGUGUUUUUUGUUAUUACAAGAACUUUUGCUUUGGUCUGGACUAGAAAUAGUUUGGGCCAGAGGUUUACUGAACUAAACUUCAAUAUUUAUAUUGAAUUGUUAUUUAUUUAAUUGUCAAUUUGUUGAUUAAAUUCAAAAAAUCUUCAAAACUUUCAACAACGGAUCUCUUGGUUCUCGCAUCGAUGAAGAACGCAGCGAAAUGCGAUAAGUAAUAUGAAUUGCAGAUUUUCGUGAAUCAUCGAAUCUUUGAACGCACAUUGCGCCCUCUGGUAUUCCAGAGGGCAUGCCUGUUUGAGCGUCAUUUCUCUCUCAAACCUUCGGGUUUGGUAUUGAGUGAUACUCUUAGUCGAACUAGGCGUUUGCUUGAAAUGUAUUGGCAUGAGUGGUACUGGAUAGUGCUAUAUGACUUUCAAUGUAUUAGGUUUAUCCAACUCGUUGAAUAGUUUAAUGGUAUAUUUCUCGGUAUUCUAGGCUCGGCCUUACAAUAUAACAAACAAGUUUGACCUCAAAUCAGGUAGGAUUACCCGCUGAACUUAAGCAUAUCAAUAAGCGGAGGAA
RNAcentral lists this ribosomal RNA (614 nucleotides) under Debaryomyces hansenii. Its description in RNAcentral is "eukaryotic LSU rRNA". The stretch from base 204 to 357 matches the Rfam family "5.8S ribosomal RNA". Lineage: Eukaryota; Fungi; Ascomycota; Pichiomycetes; Serinales; Debaryomycetaceae. The record is from RNAcentral.